Molecule: ribosomal RNA, 419 nt
Filed under: bacterium
Lineage: Bacteria
Description: partial 16S ribosomal RNA
Rfam family: Bacterial small subunit ribosomal RNA
Source: RNAcentral
UGGGGGAUAUUGCACAAUGGGCGAAAGCCUGAUGCAGCGACGCCGCGUGGGGGAUGAAGGCCUUCGGGUUGUAAACUUCUUUUGCUCUGAACAAGGCGCACCAUGGGGUGUGUUGAGUGUAGGGGUUGAUUAGCGCCGGCUAACUACGUGCCAGCAGCCGCGGUAAUACGUAGGGCGCGAGCGUUGUCCGGAAUUAUUGGGCGUAAAGGGCUUGUAGGUGGCUGGUUGCGUCUGUCGUGAAAGCUCAUGGCUUAACUGUGGGUUUGCGGUGGGUACGGGCUGGCUUGAGUGCAGUAGGGGAGGCUGGAAUUCCUGGUGUAGCGGUGGAAUGCGCAGAUAUCAGGAGGAAUACCGGUGGCGAAGGCGGGUCUCUGGGCUGUUACUGACACUGAGGAGCGAAAGCAUGGGGAGCGAAGAGG